Molecule: transfer RNA, 89 nt
Filed under: Sodalis-like endosymbiont of Proechinophthirus fluctus
Lineage: Bacteria; Pseudomonadati; Pseudomonadota; Gammaproteobacteria; Enterobacterales; Bruguierivoracaceae
Description: tRNA-Leu
Rfam family: tRNA
About the family: Transfer RNA (tRNA) molecules are approximately 80 nucleotides in length.
Source: RNAcentral
GCGAAGGUGGCGGAAUUGGUAGACGCGCUAGCUUCAGGUGUUAGUGUCCUUAAACGGACGUGAGGGUUCAAGCCCCUCUCUUCGCACCA